This 429-nucleotide ribosomal RNA is filed under the name Chloroflexota bacterium. RNAcentral's name for it is "Chloroflexi bacterium partial 16S ribosomal RNA". It matches the Rfam family "Bacterial small subunit ribosomal RNA", at positions 355 to 776 of the family's 1533-position model. Lineage: Bacteria; Bacillati; Chloroflexota. The record is from RNAcentral.
UGGGGAAUAUUGCACAAUGGGCGCAAGCCUGAUGCAGCCAUGCCGCGUGUAUGAAGAAGGCCUUCGGGUUGUAAAGUACUUUCAGCGGGGAGGAAGGGAGUAAAGUUAAUACCUUUGCUCAUUGACGUUACCCGCAGAAGAAGCACCGGCUAACUCCGUGCCAGCAGCCGCGGUAAUACGGAGGGUGCAAGCGUUAAUCGGAAUUACUGGGCGUAAAGCGCACGCAGGCGGUUUGUUAAGUCAGAUGUGAAAUCCUCGGGCUCAACCUGGGAACUGCAUCUGAUACUGGCAAGCUUGAGUCUAGUAGAGGGGGGUAGAAUUCCAGGUGUAGCGGUGAAAUGCGUAGAGAUCUUGAGGAAUACCGGUGGCGAAGGCGGCCCCCUGGACGAAGACUGACGCUCAGGUGCGAAAGCGUGGGGAGCAAACAGG